GGUUGUAUGGUGCAAUGGUAACGCGUUUACUUUAUAGCAAAAGGUUUUGGGUUUAAUUCCCGGUGCAACCG
Transfer RNA from Gaeumannomyces graminis, 71 nucleotides. It matches the Rfam family "tRNA". Rfam says of the family: Transfer RNA (tRNA) molecules are approximately 80 nucleotides in length. Their secondary structure includes four short double-helical elements and three loops (D, anti-codon, and T loops). The record is from Rfam. Lineage: Eukaryota; Fungi; Ascomycota; Sordariomycetes; Magnaporthales; Magnaporthaceae.